RNAcentral lists this ribosomal RNA (301 nucleotides) under uncultured bacterium. RNAcentral's name for it is "partial 16S ribosomal RNA". It matches the Rfam family "Bacterial small subunit ribosomal RNA", at positions 509 to 807 of the family's 1533-position model. The record is from RNAcentral.
CAGUCGCCGCGGUAAUACGGAGGGUGCAAGCGUUAAUCGGAAUUACUGGGCGUAAAGCGUGCGCAGGCGGUUAUAUAAGACAGAUGUGAAAUCCCCGGGCUCAACCUGGGACCUGCAUUUUUGACUGUAUAGCUAGAGUACGGUAGAGGGGGAUGGAAUUCCGCGUGUAGCAGUGAAAUGCGUAGAUAUGCGGAGGAACACCGAUGGCGAAGGCAAUCCCCUGGACCUGUACUGACGCUGAGGAGCGAAAGCGUGGGGAGCGAACAGGAUUAGAUACCCCCGUAGUCCCUGUCUCUUAUAC